CCUACGGGUGGCAGCAGUGAGGAAUAUUGGUCAAUGGGCGCGAGCCUGAACCAGCCAAGUCGCGUGAGUGAAGACGGUCCUAUGGAUUGUAAACCUCUUUUGUCGGGGAGCAAAAGACGCCACGCGUGGCGUUACGAGAGUACCCGAAGAAAAAGCAUCGGCUAACUCCGUGCCAGCAGCCGCGGUAAUACGGAGGAUGCGAGCGUUAUCCGGUUUUAUUGGGUUUAACGGGUGCGCAGCCGGAAGAUGAAGUCAGCGGUAAAAUUGGGGGGCGAAACCUCUACGAGCCGUUGAAACUGGUUUUCUUGAGUGAAUGAGAAGUAGGCGGAAUGCGUGGUGUAGCGGUGAAAUGCAUAGAUAUAACGCAGAACUCCGAUUGCGAAGGCAGCAUACCGGCGCUCAACUGACGCUCAUGCACGAAAGUGUGGGUAUCGAACAGGAUUAGAUACCCCUGUAGUC
Molecule: ribosomal RNA, 459 nt
Filed under: uncultured bacterium
Lineage: Bacteria
Description: partial 16S ribosomal RNA
Rfam family: Bacterial small subunit ribosomal RNA
Source: RNAcentral